RNAcentral lists this ribosomal RNA (346 nucleotides) under uncultured eukaryote. RNAcentral's name for it is "partial 18S ribosomal RNA". It matches the Rfam family "Eukaryotic small subunit ribosomal RNA", at positions 1470 to 1796 of the family's 1831-position model. The record is from RNAcentral.
CCCUUAGAUGUUCUGGGCCGCACGCGCGCUACACUGAUGACUUUAGCGAGUUUUUUUCUCCUCAAGGGGAAAAUGUCCUUGGCCGGAAGGUCUGGGUAAUCUUUUCAAUGGUCAUCGUGAUGGGGCUAGAUUUUUGCAAUUAUUAAUCUCCAACGAGGAAUUCCUAGUAAACGCAAGUCAUCAGCUUGCAUUGAUUACGUCCCUGCCCUUUGUACACACCGCCCGUCGCACCUACCGAUUGAAUGGUCCGGUGAAAUCUUCGGAUUCGCACGCUUGACCUUUAUUGGGAGAUCAUGCGAAAAAGUUGAGUAAACCUUACCAUUUAGAGGAAGGUGAAGUCGUAACA